This 141-nucleotide unclassified non-coding RNA is filed under the name Acidipropionibacterium thoenii. Lineage: Bacteria; Bacillati; Actinomycetota; Actinomycetes; Propionibacteriales; Propionibacteriaceae. The record is from RNAcentral.
CCCUCACAACAAUCUACAAACGAUCGCGCAUAUCCACUGUGCGGCUCUGAACCACCACACCCCCCUMGGGGGUGCUGGUCCAGRAGCCCCUGACAACACCACCCCCUCGACCCAGGUCGAGGGACGUGGUCCCAUAAUCUU